CAAAAAAAAAAAGAAACAGGUAAGCAUCUCUGGACCAGAUGCUGAGAACUCUACUCUUCUUCCAGGUAAGAUAAGGAAUUUUCAUCUUCUUAAGGAGUAUUUUGUGCAUAUGACUGGGCUGUGGAUUCUAUAAUCCUUGUGAGUGGGCUUAGCUGUGGUGCCAUUAUCCACUCUACUGACUCUUUGCUAAUUUUUAGCCUAUUCAUACAGGAAAGACUGGCUAUUACAACCUUGUAUUCCUUGGCCAGUCCUACAUAGAGUCAUCUUAGGGUUUCUAACACCCCUAUAUAUAUGGGGCAUGAAGGUAGUGUUUUCCUUAAUGGCCUUGUCAUUUUUCUGCUCUGAGCAACAUGUUUAGGAGACACGUGAGGUUAAUUGGUAUCUCUCAGAGCAGCAACUUUACCAUGAUGGUCCCACAGGGCAGGCUCCUCCCCCAACCUCUCACAGACAGGCUUUCUCUCUUCUUCUCUCAUCUUGCAAACCAGCGUCACUGCCCAGAAGAGAGCCUGCAACACUGCCACCUGCGUGACCCAGCGGCUGGCAGGCUUGCUGAGCAGGUCAGGGGGUGUGGUGAAGGACAACUUCAUAGCCACUGAUGUGGGCUCCAAAGCCUUCGGCCGGCGCCGCAGGGAUCUUCAGGCCUGAGCAGUUCACUGGCUCCAGGAAGCAGGUCACAUUGAAGCUAAACUCAAUUUCUUUUAGUGUACAAUGAAGGCAGUUUGUAGGGAAGGCUCUGUGGAAGACCUACAUAUUCGUAUAUUUCUUCAUAUUGAAACUAUCUUUUUUGUUUGAAAAGAACUAAAGCUAAGCGCAGAAUACUCUCAUUGCAGUUACCUGUUGUGCAUUGUUUUUUACAUUUAAUUCUGUCUCCAAUAAACAUGACAGCAUGUCUCAUAGGCCUAUCUGGUAACAAAUCUGGUCCCCCUCGGCUAUCCUGUGAUGCUGGCAACUCUGCCAAACCUCAGGGGGACAUGAAAUCACUGCCUCUGGAGUGUCUGGGGACGCAUGGUAAUGCUGCGGCUUGAUGGAACAAUCUAUUUAAAGAAAUGUCAACGUUGUCAUUUGUGAACUUCAUCAAAAUUAAAAAUGUAUUUUCAAUACCCUUAAA
Molecule: long non-coding RNA, 1108 nt
Organism: Chinchilla lanigera (long-tailed chinchilla)
Lineage: Eukaryota; Metazoa; Chordata; Mammalia; Rodentia; Chinchillidae
Exons: 2
Source: RefSeq, a predicted model, not a curated record